UGGGGAAUAUUGGACAAUUGGCGCAAGCCUGAUCCAGCCAUGCCGCGUGAGUGAUGAAGGCCCUAGGGUUGUAAAGCUCUUUCACCGGUGAAGAUAAUGACGGUAAACGGAGAAGAAGCCCCGGCUAACUUCGUGCCAGCAGCCGCGGUAAUACGAAGGGGGCUAGCGUUGUUCGGAUUUACUGGGCGUAAAGCGCACGUAGGCGGACUUUUAAGUCAGGGGUGAAAUCCCGGGGCUCAACCCCGGAACUGCCUUUGAUACUGGAAGUCUUGAGUAUGGUAGAGGUGAGUGGAAUUCCGAGUGUAGAGGUGAAAUUCGUAGAUAUUCGGAGGAACACCAGUGGCGAAGGCGGCUCACUGGACCAUUACUGACGCUGAGGUGCGAAAGCGGGGGGAGCAAACAGG
Molecule: ribosomal RNA, 404 nt
Filed under: Actinomycetes bacterium
Lineage: Bacteria; Bacillati; Actinomycetota; Actinomycetes
Description: Actinobacteria bacterium partial 16S ribosomal RNA
Rfam family: Bacterial small subunit ribosomal RNA
Source: RNAcentral